UUCGGAUUGUAGUCUGCAACCCGACUACAUGAAGCUGGAAUCGCUAGUAAUCGCGAAUCAGAAUGUCGCGGUGAAUACGUUCCCGGGUCUUGUACACACCGCCCGUCACACCAUGGGAGUCGGAAAUGCCCGAAGUCAGUGACCCAACCGCAAGGAGGGAGCUGCCGAAGGUGGAGCCGGUAACUGGGGUGAAGUCGUAACAAGGUAUC
Molecule: ribosomal RNA, 209 nt
Filed under: uncultured bacterium
Lineage: Bacteria
Description: partial 16S ribosomal RNA
Rfam family: Bacterial small subunit ribosomal RNA
Source: RNAcentral